This 253-nucleotide ribosomal RNA is filed under the name uncultured bacterium. Its description in RNAcentral is "partial 16S ribosomal RNA". It matches the Rfam family "Bacterial small subunit ribosomal RNA", at positions 524 to 776 of the family's 1533-position model. The record is from RNAcentral.
UACGUAGGGUGCAAGCGUUAAUCGGAAUUACUGGGCGUAAAGCGUGCGCAGGCGGCGCGUUAAGACAGGUGUGAAAGCCCCGAGCUUAACUUGGGAAUUGCGCUUGUGACUGGCGAGCUGGAGUGUGGCAGAGGGAGGUGGAAUUCCACGUGUAGCAGUGAAAUGCGUAGAGAUGUGGAGGAACACCAAUGGCGAAGGCAGCUCGCUGGGACGGUACUGACGCUGAGACGCGAAAGCGUGGGGAGCAAACAGG